This 301-nucleotide ribosomal RNA is filed under the name uncultured bacterium. RNAcentral describes it as "partial 16S ribosomal RNA". It matches the Rfam family "Bacterial small subunit ribosomal RNA", at positions 509 to 807 of the family's 1533-position model. The record is from RNAcentral.
CAGCAGCCACGGGAAUACGAAGGGGGCUAGCGUUGUUCGGAAUCACUGGGCGUAAAGGGUGCGUAGGCGGAUUCUUAAGUCAGGGGUGAAAUCCCGAGGCUCAACCUCGGAACUGCCUUUGAUACUGGGGAUCUUGAGUCCGGAAGAGGUGAGUGGAACUGCGAGUGUAGAGGUGAAAUUCGUAGAUAUUCGCAAGAACACCGGUGGCGAAGGCGGCUCACUGGUCCGGAACUGACGCUGAGGCACGACAGCGUGGGGAGCAAACAGGAUUAGAUACCCCAGUAGUCCCUGUCUCUUAUAC